AACGCAAAUGGCACUCUAUGGUAUUCCGUAGAGUACGUCUGUUUGAGCGUCGCGAACAUCUCCAUAAUUAGUUUUUUUUUUAAAUUGAUUGUGGGUUUUGAGGUUGUCAUAUAAACAAUGACUCCCUUUAAAAUAAUUAGUGAUGACCUUAUGAAUGGGUUAAUACUGUGUGUUAUAAUGGAUUACAUCCAUCACCAGUCAGAGAGUAAUCUCGCCUUAGUAAUUUGUAGUGAUUGCUUCUAACUGCCAUUGGCAAACAAACUGAUCAAAUCGACCUCAAAUCAGAUGGGAUUACCCGCUGAACUUAA
This 308-nucleotide unclassified non-coding RNA is filed under the name uncultured Wallemia. RNAcentral describes it as "sequence contains ITS2". The record is from RNAcentral. Lineage: Eukaryota; Fungi; Basidiomycota; Wallemiomycetes; Wallemiales; Wallemiaceae.